GCUGCACCCACAGAAUAUGGAAGUUCCCAGGCCAGGGGUUGAAUCAGAGCUGCAGCAGCCAGCCUAUGCCACAGCAACAUGGGAUCUGAGCCACAUCUGUGACCUAUACCACAGCCCACAGCAACAGCGGAUCCUUAACCUACUGAGGGAGGCCAGGGAUCGAACCCACAUCCUCAUGGAUGCUGGUCAGGUUCACUACCACUGAGCCACAAUGGAAACUCCAGAAAGCUGCUUUGGUUUUAAUUGGCAGGAGGAGGCUUGUGAGACUCUUUAGCUUUCUCCUUGUGUUAUGUCUUCGUGACAGUGUGAAGUCAGUCUUAGAGCAGUUACAGCUCUUGCGACCUGUCAGAAACGCAGAGCCUUCAAUGCUGAUUAAAACCCACAACUGAAAAAAGAAUUACCAUAAUCCAGUGACAGGCAUGAAGAAAAAGCCAUAAUAAUACCGAUAACAAGGUGCCAGUUUAGAGGCUAUUAUAUUUAGGGACUUACUUCAGCAAGAAAAGUCUCCUCAGGUUUCUGCUAGAAGCAGGCUUGUCAGGGGAGGUGGCAGGGCUGCAGAGCUGGGGGAGGGGGGAGUGAGCCACGCAACCACCUGGACACAUAUGUUUGCUAGAAGUUCUGUGGGUGGUGGCAGCAAAUAGAAGUCACAGGUGUGUCCUCUGCUCUGAACCGGUGUUGUUAAGAGACCAGCAGGGUCUGGGACUCUAGGUUUAAUCUGACAAUCCAACAAGUCCAGGGACUUGCCUGAACCCCAAUGAACACUCCCCUGAAGCCUCUGUCCUCAGGGCUCUCAAGAACACCCUAAGUUGUCCCUUUUGCCACCAGAGCCAUCCUCUGUGCCCGGAUCAUCCUGGACAUUUCUUAGCUACCCACUCUACCCUGAUUUUGGCCUCUGCCUAAUAUCCUGCACUCCCAUCUCAUUUCCUUGGGGCCUUUCUAGGUGACUCCAGUUUCCGGAUGAGCUCUUUUGCACUAAAUUGUUAAUGCAGCUCCUGGUUUAAGGUGUUAGCCCUUCCAGCAUCUAUUUGCAUCCAGUCUAUUUGCAUCUUAACAGGGGCCUUUCAGCUCAAAGCCAAAGUGCUACUACUUCGGGUUUAGGGCACACACCAAAGGUGGGGUGGGGUGGCAUUUGGGAGCAGGCAUCUGUUUAGGGGACACUUUAAUCUCACCAGGUAAGUAGUACCUUCCUUGGGUAGGGGAGCAGUCCAGCCCCCCUCUGCCUGCAUCCUGGAUUCUGUAUCGCUGCAGAAUCAGAUAAAAUGCCACUCCUUCCAGCCACCCUUCCUUGAUCGAACUCUGCACACUGCACUGCUGGCUGACCCUCUCUCUCCAGACUUCACCGCACACAGGUUCCUCACAACAUACUUGAAUAUGUUUGAGAGAUGCACAGAAACCUGUCAUUUAAUCCAUGUGGGUAGUCAUGUGUCAUAUUGGCUGAAAGUCAAUAGUGACCCCACUGUUGGGUUGUCAAGCUCCCCUGAGAAAUGGAAGCUGCUCUAUUGGAAUAAAGAUUUCCAGUCUAGGGAGCAUCUCUAUUUAUCAAUGAUAGGUAUCAUGAAAUACGAAAUUUUGCUUGUACUGAGCAUGGAAAGGACCCUGUGGGUGGCUUGGUCACACACCCUCAAGCACACACACAUGCACAGAGAGAACAAUUCCUAGCGUUAAGUCGUUUUAUGUUUAAAAACAAAGGGCUCUGUGCUAAGUGGGAAUGGAUACAACAUUUGACAGAUGAGUAUAGAUAUAGAGAAUAAACCAGUGGUUACCUGUGGGGAGAAGGGAGAGGGGAGGGGUAGUGAGUAAGAGUUACCAACUAUUACGUAUAAAUAAGCUCCAAGGAUAUAUUAAACAACACGGGGAAUAUAGCCAGUAUUUUGUGCUAACAUUUAAGGAAAUAUAACCUUUAAGAAUUGUGAAUGACUAGGUUGUACCCUCGUAACUCAUGUAAUAGUGUACGUCAACUAUACUUCAAUAUAUUUUUUUAAGUACCAAAAGUCUUACAUAUGUGCACAUGAUAUGGCUCAGCUAUUCUAAAUCUAGGAAUUUAUCCUAAGAGAGGUGUUCGAUAAGAAUUAUACAGAAGGACAUAGGAUAACAUUAAUCAGAGCACCCUUGGAGUUCCCGUCGUGGCUCAGCAGAAACGAAUCUGACCAGCAUCCAUGAGGAUGCAGGUUCGAUCCCUGGCCUCAUUCAGUCACAGACACAGCUCAGAUCUGAUGUUGCUGUGGCUGUGGCAUAGGCUGGCAGCUGUAGCUCCGAUUUGACCCCAAGCCCGGGAACCUCCAUAUGCCACAGGUGUGGCCCUAAAAAGACAAAAAUAUAAAAAUAAAAAGAUAUACAUCAGAGCACUAUUAAUAGCAAGAUAUUAGCAAUAAUUCACAUAACAGUGGAGGAUUAAUACACGGCUAUAGUAUUUCUAAACUAGGAAACUAGAAAUUAGCCAUUAAAAGUCCUAUCUUAGGAGAAUAAUUAAUGGCAUGCUAAAAUGCUUGCAAUGUAUUUCCAGGUUAAAAAAAAAGUAGGUUAUAAGAGAUACUGAGUUUAAUCUAAGUUUUAUAAAAUAUAUGCAAGACAGAUGUGGAAAAAAGACUAAAAAGACAUACAUCAAAAUAUUAACAGUAGUUAUCUCAGAGUGCUUAUAGGAGUGACAUAAAAUUUCUUCUUUAUAUUUCAAAUGAUCAAUGAGAGUUAUUACUUUUACAAUCAGAAAAGGGUGAUUAAACAACAAGGAUUUGCUGCAUAGUACAGGGAACUAUAUUCAAUAUCUUGUAACAAACUAUACGGGAAAAGAACAAAAAACGAAUAUAGACAUACACAUACAUCUGUAUAACCACAUCACUUCGCUGGACACCUGAAACUAACAAUACUGUAAAUCAACUAUACUUCAAUUAAAAGAGAAAAGGGUAAUUAAAGAAGACAAAACUCAUUUGUUCAAAAAUUCAACAGAGAAAACCUACCGAGGUGUCACAUAACCUGCAGGAAGGCUUGGCGAACUAUGGUGAGAAACUUGCCAAGGUUCUUAAGACAGCGUAGUAGGAGAAGAACUAGGUUUUGAUUCCAGAAAAAGUGAGUUGGAAUCCUAGUUCUGCCACUUAACUUGUGGUAUGUUACUUAACCUAAGCUUUAUUUUUUCUUUUUAUGACUGCACCUGCAGCAUAUAGAAGUUCCUGGGCUGGGGUAGAUUCAGAGCUGCCGCUGCUGGCCUACACCACAGCCAUAGUAACACUGGAUCUGAGUCAUAUCUGCAACCUCCACCACAACUUGAGGCAAUGCCAGAUCCUUAGCCCCCUGAGUGAGGCCAGGGAUUGAACCCACAUCCUCACAGAGACAACAUUGGGUCCCUAACCCUCUGAACCACAAUGGGAACUCCUAAUCUAAGCUUUAACUUUUCACUUCUGUUUUGAUUACUAUUACUUUGUAGUCCAGUCUGCAGUCUGGAAGAGUUAUACUUUCAGCUUUGUUCUUUUUUUCCUUGGUAUCGCUUUGGUAAUUCUGGGUCUUUCUCAAUUCCACAUAAAUUUUAGGAUUUGUUUUAGUUCUGUGAAAAAUGUCAUAGGAAUUUGAUAGGUAUUACAUUAAAUAUGUAGACUGUUCUGGGUAGUAUUUUUAAUAAUAUUAAUUCUUCCAACUCAAGAGUACUGUAUACCUUUUGGUUUCUUUGAAUCAUCUUCAAUUUCCUUUAUCAAUGUUUUAUAGUUUUUAGCAUAUAGGUCAUUCACUUCCUUGGUCACCUUUUUUCCUAGGACACCAUAAAACUCCUAGAAAAGAACAUAAGCAACACAUUCUUUGACCUCAAUCACAGUAAUAUUUUUUUAGCUCAAUCUCCCAAGGCAAAAGAAAUAAAAGCAAAAAUAAACACAUGGGCCCUAAUCAAACUUAAAAGCUCUUGCAAAGCAGAGGAAACCAUCAACGAAAGGAAAAGACCACCUAUGGAACAGGAUAAAAUAUUUGCAGAUGAUGUGACCCACAAAGAGUUAAAAUCCAAAAUAAUACAAACAGCUCAUAAACUUGAUAUUAAAAAAAAACAAAUAACCCAGUCAAAAAAUGUGCAGAAGACCUGAAUAGACAUUUCUCUCAAGAAGACACACAGAUGGCUAAAAAGCACAUAAAAAAGAUGCUGAACAUCUCUAAUUAUUAGAGAAAUGCAAAUCAAAACCACAAUGAGGUAUUACUUCAUACAGCCUCAGAAUGGCUGUAUCAUCAAAAAUUCUACACAUAACAACUGCUGGAGAGGGUGUGGAGAAAAGGGAACCCUCCUACACUGUUGGUGGAAAUAUACAUUGGUGUAGUCACUGUGGAAAACAGUACGUAGUUGCCUUAAAAAACUGAAAAUAAAACUACCAUAUGAUCCAGCAAUUCCACUCCUGGGUAUAUCUGAAAGAAGCAAAAACUAUAGUUCAAAAAGAAACAUGCACCCCAAUGUUCACAGCAGCACUACUUA
Molecule: long non-coding RNA, 4438 nt
Filed under: Sus scrofa (pig)
Lineage: Eukaryota; Metazoa; Chordata; Mammalia; Artiodactyla; Suidae
Description: lncRNA (ENSSSCG00050008261.1)
Source: RNAcentral